This is a non-coding RNA of Nicotiana sylvestris (wood tobacco), 72 nucleotides long. NCBI's taxonomy places the organism in Eukaryota, Viridiplantae, Streptophyta, Magnoliopsida, Solanales, Solanaceae. The record is from Rfam.
AUUCAUUGGAUGAGUGUGAGGCGUUGGAUUGAUUUUAUUCAAUCCAAGCCCCACAUUCAUUAGGGUGUUCGU